AUUGAACGCUGGCGGCAGGCCUAACACAUGCAAGUCGAGCGUGAAAGCACUUCGGUGUGAGUAGAGCGGCGGACGGGUGAGUAACGCGUAGGAAUCUACCUAGUAGUGGGGGACAACUCGAGGAAACUCGAGCUAAUACCGCAUACGCCCUAAGGGGGAAAGCGGGGGAUCUUCGGACCUCGCGCUAUUGGAUGAGCCUGCGUCGGAUUAGCUAGUUGGUGGGGUAAAGGCCCACCAAGGCGACGAUCCGUAGCUGGUCUGAGAGGAUGAUCAGCCACACUGGGACUGAGACACGGCCCAG
RNAcentral lists this ribosomal RNA (301 nucleotides) under uncultured bacterium. RNAcentral describes it as "bacterial SSU rRNA". It matches the Rfam family "Bacterial small subunit ribosomal RNA", at positions 30 to 334 of the family's 1533-position model. The record is from RNAcentral.